This 256-nucleotide long non-coding RNA is filed under the name Elaeis guineensis (African oil palm). Its description in RNAcentral is "long non-coding RNA (EGUI_LNC034911)". The record is from RNAcentral. Lineage: Eukaryota; Viridiplantae; Streptophyta; Magnoliopsida; Arecales; Arecaceae.
UAUGGUAUAGAUUGGCUGUAGUAGAUUCAUUGUAGGAGUAGGAUGUGUACCUAGAUAGGAUCUAUCGAUCUUAAUAGAUAACGACUAAUCCUAUGUGAUUUAUGAGAUUGAGUUCUUAAGACUAUGGUCAUGGCAGCGUGAAUAAUGAAAUUUUUUUUUAUGAGAUUUCACAUAAUAAACUCGAGUUGAAUAAAUCUUAUAUAUAAUAGAUGAUAAGAUUUGGUGAAUUUUCUAUAAUCUCCAUCUUAUCGAGACU